RNAcentral lists this unclassified non-coding RNA (167 nucleotides) under uncultured fungus. Its description in RNAcentral is "sequence contains ITS1". Lineage: Eukaryota; Fungi. The record is from RNAcentral.
UUGUUUGUUUAUGCUCAAUUAAGAGACGAUGUCAUUCUUAGACUUUUGUGUGUAAAAUGUGUAAAAACAGUUUGUGCACAGGGUGAAGGAAAAUGAGUUGGUCGGACCUCUAAAAAGAGCGUCCUUGCAUUUCAUUAAUGAUCCUUCCGCAGGUUCACCUACGGAAA